CGGGAAGAGCUCAAAUUUGAAAUCUGGCGUCCUCAGGGCGUCCGAGUUGUAAUCUAUAGAGGCGUUUUCCGUGCCGGACCGUGUCCAAGUUCCUUGGAACAGGAUAUCAAAGAGGGUGACAAUCCCGUACUUGACACGACGACCGGUGCUCUGUGAUACGUCUUCUACGAGUCGAGUUGUUUGGGAAUGCAGCUCAAAAUGGGUGGUGAGUUCCAUCUAAAGCUAAAUAUUGGCGAGAGACCGAUAGCGAACAAGUACCGUGAGGGAAAGAUGAAAAGCACUUUGGAAAGAGAGUUAAACAGUACGUGAAAUUGUUGAAAGGGAAACGAUUGAAGUCAGUCGUGACCGAGAGGCUCAGCCGGUUCUGCCGGUGUAUUCCCCUCGGUCGGGUCAACAUCAGUUUUGUCCGGUGGAUAAGGACGGUAGGAAGGUGGCACCCUCGGGUGUGUUAUAGCCUGCCGUCGCAUACAUCGGGUGAGACUGAGGAACGCAGCUCGCCUUUAUGGCCGGGGUUCGCCCACGUCCGAGCUUAGGAUGUUGACAUAAUGGCUUUAAACGACCCGUCUUGAAACACGGGACCA
This 581-nucleotide ribosomal RNA is filed under the name Papiliotrema laurentii. RNAcentral describes it as "eukaryotic LSU rRNA". It matches the Rfam family "Eukaryotic large subunit ribosomal RNA", at positions 99 to 664 of the family's 3401-position model. The record is from RNAcentral. Lineage: Eukaryota; Fungi; Basidiomycota; Tremellomycetes; Tremellales; Rhynchogastremaceae.